RNAcentral lists this ribosomal RNA (1383 nucleotides) under Kocuria sp. LW7. RNAcentral's name for it is "16S ribosomal RNA". It matches the Rfam family "Bacterial small subunit ribosomal RNA". The record is from RNAcentral. Lineage: Bacteria; Bacillati; Actinomycetota; Actinomycetes; Micrococcales; Micrococcaceae.
GUCGAACGAUGAUGGCCCAGCUUGCUGGGCGGAUUAGUGGCGAACGGGUGAGUAAUACGUGAGUAACCUGCCCUUGACUCUGGGAUAAGCCUGGGAAACUGGGUCUAAUACUGGAUACUACCUCUUACCGCAUGGUGGGUGGUGGAAAGGGUUUUACUGGUUUUGGAUGGGCUCACGGCCUAUCAGCUUGUUGGUGGGGUAAUGGCUCACCAAGGCGACGACGGGUAGCCGGCCUGAGAGGGUGACCGGCCACACUGGGACUGAGACACGGCCCAGACUCCUACGGGAGGCAGCAGUGGGGAAUAUUGCACAAUGGGCGGAAGCCUGAUGCAGCGACGCCGCGUGAGGGAUGACGGCCUUCGGGUUGUAAACCUCUUUCAGUAGGGAAGAAGCGAGAGUGACGGUACCUGCAGAAGAAGCGCCGGCUAACUACGUGCCAGCAGCCGCGGUAAUACGUAGGGCGCAAGCGUUGUCCGGAAUUAUUGGGCGUAAAGAGCUCGUAGGCGGUUUGUCGCGUCUGCUGUGAAAGCCCGGGGCUCAACCCCGGGUCUGCAGUGGGUACGGGCAGACUAGAGUGCAGUAGGGGAGACUGGAAUUCCUGGUGUAGCGGUGAAAUGCGCAGAUAUCAGGAGGAACACCGAUGGCGAAGGCAGGUCUCUGGGCUGUUACUGACGCUGAGGAGCGAAAGCAUGGGGAGCGAACAGGAUUAGAUACCCUGGUAGUCCAUGCCGUAAACGUUGGGCACUAGGUGUGGGGGACAUUCCACGUUUUCCGCGCCGUAGCUAACGCAUUAAGUGCCCCGCCUGGGGAGUACGGCCGCAAGGCUAAAACUCAAAGGAAUUGACGGGGGCCCGCACAAGCGGCGGAGCAUGCGGAUUAAUUCGAUGCAACGCGAAGAACCUUACCAAGGCUUGACAUUCACCGGACCGCCCCAGAGAUGGGGUUUCCCUUCGGGGCUGGUGGACAGGUGGUGCAUGGUUGUCGUCAGCUCGUGUCGUGAGAUGUUGGGUUAAGUCCCGCAACGAGCGCAACCCUCGUUCUAUGUUGCCAGCACGUGAUGGUGGGGACUCAUAGGAGACUGCCGGGGUCAACUCGGAGGAAGGUGGGGAUGACGUCAAAUCAUCAUGCCCCUUAUGUCUUGGGCUUCACGCAUGCUACAAUGGCCGGUACAAAGGGUUGCGAUACUGUGAGGUGGAGCUAAUCCCAAAAAGCCGGUCUCAGUUCGGAUUGAGGUCUGCAACUCGACCUCAUGAAGUCGGAGUCGCUAGUAAUCGCAGAUCAGCAACGCUGCGGUGAAUACGUUCCCGGGCCUUGUACACACCGCCCGUCAAGUCACGAAAGUUGGUAACACCCGAAGCCGGUGGCCUAACCCCUUGUGGGAGG